This is a non-coding RNA of Capsicum annuum, 107 nucleotides long. NCBI's taxonomy places the organism in Eukaryota, Viridiplantae, Streptophyta, Magnoliopsida, Solanales, Solanaceae. The record is from Rfam.
UAUUAAUAGUGUGGACAAUCAUUGAGAAGAUAUUUGAACCUCUCCCAUACAUGAUAUAAUUUCUCAUCUGGCUUCUACUUAAAACUCAGAAUCUCAUGCCAUAACCU